RNAcentral lists this ribosomal RNA (2923 nucleotides) under Klebsiella pneumoniae. RNAcentral describes it as "23S ribosomal RNA". It matches the Rfam family "Bacterial large subunit ribosomal RNA". Lineage: Bacteria; Pseudomonadati; Pseudomonadota; Gammaproteobacteria; Enterobacterales; Enterobacteriaceae. The record is from RNAcentral.
GGGUUGUGAGGUUAAGCGACUAAGCGUACACGGUGGAUGCCCUGGCAGUCAGAGGCGAUGAAGGACGUGCUAAUCUGCGAAAAGCGUCGGUAAGGUGAUAUGAACCGUUACAGCCGGCGAUGUCCGAAUGGGGAAACCCAGUGCAAUUCGUUGCACUAUCGUUAACUGAAUACAUAGGUUAACGAGGCGAACCGGGGGAACUGAAACAUCUAAGUACCCCGAGGAAAAGAAAUCAACCGAGAUUCCCCCAGUAGCGGCGAGCGAACGGGGAGCAGCCCAGAGUCUGAAUCAGCUUGUGUGUUAGUGGAACGGUCUGGAAAGUCCGACGGUACAGGGUGAUAGUCCCGUACACCAAAAUGCACAGGUUGUGAACUCGAAGAGUAGGGCGGGACACGUGGUAUCCUGUCUGAAUAUGGGGGGACCAUCCUCCAAGGCUAAAUACUCCUGACUGACCGAUAGUGAACCAGUACCGUGAGGGAAAGGCGAAAAGAACCCCGGCGAGGGGAGUGAAAAAGAACCUGAAACCGUGUACGUACAAGCAGUGGGAGCACCUUCGGGUGUGACUGCGUACCUUUUGUAUAAUGGGUCAGCGACUUAUAUUCUGUAGCAAGGUUAACCGUAUAGGGGAGCCGCAGGGAAACCGAGUCUUAACUGGGCGUUAAGUUGCAGGGUAUAGACCCGAAACCCGGUGAUCUAGCCAUGGGCAGGUUGAAGGUUGGGUAACACUAACUGGAGGACCGAACCGACUAAUGUUGAAAAAUUAGCGGAUGACUUGUGGCUGGGGGUGAAAGGCCAAUCAAACCGGGAGAUAGCUGGUUCUCCCCGAAAGCUAUUUAGGUAGCGCCUCGUGAAUUCAUCUUCGGGGGUAGAGCACUGUUUCGGCUAGGGGGUCAUCCCGACUUACCAACCCGAUGCAAACUACGAAUACCGAAGAAUGUUAUCACGGGAGACACACGGCGGGUGCUAACGUCCGUCGUGAAGAGGGAAACAACCCAGACCGCCAGCUAAGGUCCCAAAGUCAUGGUUAAGUGGGAAACGAUGUGGGAAGGCACAGACAGCCAGGAUGUUGGCUUAGAAGCAGCCAUCAUUUAAAGAAAGCGUAAUAGCUCACUGGUCGAGUCGGCCUGCGCGGAAGAUGUAACGGGGCUAAACCAUGCACCGAAGCUGCGGCAGCGACACUAUGUGUUGUUGGGUAGGGGAGCGUUCUGUAAGCCUGCGAAGGUGUGCUGUGAGGCAUGCUGGAGGUAUCAGAAGUGCGAAUGCUGACAUAAGUAACGAUAAAGCGGGUGAAAAGCCCGCUCGCCGGAAGACCAAGGGUUCCUGUCCAACGUUAAUCGGGGCAGGGUGAGUCGACCCCUAAGGCGAGGCCGAAAGGCGUAGUCGAUGGGAAACAGGUUAAUAUUCCUGUACUUGGUGUUACUGCGAAGGGGGGACGGAGAAGGCUAUGUUAGCCGGGCGACGGUUGUCCCGGUUUAAGCAUGUAGGCUGGUUGUCCAGGCAAAUCCGGAUAAUCAAGGCUGAGGUGUGAUGACGAGGCACUACGGUGCUGAAGUAACAAAUGCCCUGCUUCCAGGAAAAGCCUCUAAGCAUCAGGUAACAUCAAAUCGUACCCCAAACCGACACAGGUGGUCAGGUAGAGAAUACCAAGGCGCUUGAGAGAACUCGGGUGAAGGAACUAGGCAAAAUGGUGCCGUAACUUCGGGAGAAGGCACGCUGGUGUGUAGGUGAAGUCCCUGCGGAUGGAGCUGAGACCAGUCGAAGAUACCAGCUGGCUGCAACUGUUUAUUAAAAACACAGCACUGUGCAAACACGAAAGUGGACGUAUACGGUGUGACGCCUGCCCGGUGCCGGAAGGUUAAUUGAUGGGGUUAUCCGUAAGGAGAAGCUCUUGAUCGAAGCCCCGGUAAACGGCGGCCGUAACUAUAACGGUCCUAAGGUAGCGAAAUUCCUUGUCGGGUAAGUUCCGACCUGCACGAAUGGCGUAAUGAUGGCCAGGCUGUCUCCACCCGAGACUCAGUGAAAUUGAACUCGCUGUGAAGAUGCAGUGUACCCGCGGCAAGACGGAAAGACCCCGUGAACCUUUACUAUAGCUUGACACUGAACAUUGAGCCUUGAUGUGUAGGAUAGGUGGGAGGCUUUGAAGCGUGGACGCCAGUCUGCGUGGAGCCAACCUUGAAAUACCACCCUUUAAUGUUUGAUGUUCUAACGUUGGCCCCUUACCGGGGUUGCGGACAGUGUCUGGUGGGUAGUUUGACUGGGGCGGUCUCCUCCCAAAGCGUAACGGAGGAGCACGAAGGUUAGCUAAUCCUGGUCGGACAUCAGGAGGUUAGUGCAAUGGCAUAAGCUAGCUUGACUGCGAGCGUGACGGCGCGAGCAGGUGCGAAAGCAGGUCAUAGUGAUCCGGUGGUUCUGAAUGGAAGGGCCAUCGCUCAACGGAUAAAAGGUACUCCGGGGAUAACAGGCUGAUACCGCCCAAGAGUUCAUAUCGACGGCGGUGUUUGGCACCUCGAUGUCGGCUCAUCACAUCCUGGGGCUGAAGUAGGUCCCAAGGGUAUGGCUGUUCGCCAUUUAAAGUGGUACGCGAGCUGGGUUUAGAACGUCGUGAGACAGUUCGGUCCCUAUCUGCCGUGGGCGCUGGAGAAUUGAGGGGGGCUGCUCCUAGUACGAGAGGACCGGAGUGGACGCAUCACUGGUGUUCGGGUUGUCAUGCCAAUGGCACUGCCCGGUAGCUAAAUGCGGAAGAGAUAAGUGCUGAAAGCAUCUAAGCACGAAACUUGCCCCGAGAUGAGUUCUCCCUGAGACUUUAAGUCUCCUGAAGGAACGUUAAAGACGAUGACGUUGAUAGGCCGGGUGUGUAAGCGCAGCGAUGCGUUGAGCUAACCGGUACUAAUGAACCGUGAGGCUUAACCUUACAACGCCGAAG